Molecule: ribosomal RNA, 1847 nt
Filed under: Akkermansiaceae bacterium
Lineage: Bacteria; Pseudomonadati; Verrucomicrobiota; Verrucomicrobiia; Verrucomicrobiales; Akkermansiaceae
Description: partial 23S ribosomal RNA
Rfam family: Bacterial large subunit ribosomal RNA
Source: RNAcentral
CGCAGCAGUGAGACGGCGGGGGAUAAGCUUCGUCGUCGAGAGGGAAACAGCCCAGACCGGCAGCUAAGGUGCCUAAAUAGUGCUCAGUGGAAAGGAGGUGAGGUUUCAUAGACAGUGAGGAUGUUGGCUUAGAAGCAGCCACCAUUUAAAAAAUGCGUAAUAGCUUACUCAUCGAGAGACCUUGCGCCGAAAAUACUUGGCGAUAAGCACUAUACCGAAGCUCCGGGUGUCAUAUUUAACUAUAUGGCGCGGUAGAGGAGCAUUCUCUAGACAGUGAAGGGUGAUGGUGACUGACCCUGGAGUGUAGAGAAGUGAGAAUGCAGACAUGAGUAACGAUAAGGCCGGUGAAAUCCCGGCCCGCCGUAAAUCCAAGGUUUCCCGGGCAACGUUUUUCGUCCCGGGGUUAGUCGGGACCUAACCCGAGGCCGAAGGGCGUAGGGGAUGGAAAGCAGGUUAAUAUUCCUGCACCCAGUUAGGAGGACGCAUGAUCAAAAGCUACUAAGUUAUUGAAUUCUGAGGUGAUACUACGGUUGAUCCGCAUAGCUAGAGAGAGUGCCAAGAAAAGUCCUAACAUUAAUGGCCCGUACCGUAAACCGACACAGGUGGAUGGGUAGAAUAUACCAAGGCGCAAGAGUGAAACCUAGUCAAGGAACUCGGCAAAAUAGCCCCGUAACUUCGGAAGAAGGGGUGCCUAUUUUUUAAUAGGCCGCAGUGAAAUGGCCCAACCGACUGUUUAGCAAAAACACAGCAUUGUGCUAAGACGUAAGUCGACGUAUACGAUGUGACACGUGACCAAUGCCAAAAGAUUACGGUAAGGUGUUAGCCCUCGUGGCAAAGCUCCAAGCCCAAGUCCUGGUGAAUGUCGGCCGUAACUAUAACGGUCCUAAGGUAGCGAAAUUCCUUGUCGGGUAAGUUCCGACCUGCACGAAUCGUGCAACGAGUUGGGCGCUGUCUCGACUAGAUGCUCAGUGAAAUUGUAGUGCCGGUGAAGAUGCCGGCUACCCGCAGAAAGACGGAAAGACCCUAUAGACCUUAACUGUAAGCUGUUACUGGUUAUUCGAUUUUAAUGCUCAGCAUAAGUGGGAGACGUUGAAGCGUGUUUUUAGGAACAUGUGGAGUCAUCAGUGAGAUACCACCCUUUAACAUUGGAUGAUCUAACCCUAAGCCGUCAUCCGGCUAGGGGACCGUGGCAGCCGGUCAGUUUUACUGGGGCGGUAUCCUCCUAAAGAGUAACGGAGGAGCGCGAAGUUUGGCUCAGCACAGUUGGUAACUGUGUGUUGAGUGUAAAGGCAUAAGCCAGACUAACUGUGAGACCUACAAGUCGAGCAGAUACGAAAGUAGGCCUUAGUGAUCCGGCGGUUGAAUGUGGAAUUGCCGUCGCUCAACGGAUAAAAGGUACCUUAGGGAUAACAGGCUUAUUUCGCCCAAGAGUUCAUAUCGACGGCGAAGUUUGGCACCUCGAUGUCGGCUCGUCGCAUCCUGGGGCUGGAGAAGGUCCCAAGGGUCCGGCUGUUCGCCGGUUAAAGCGGCACGCGAGCUGGGUUCAGAACGUCGCGAGACAGUUCGGUCCUCUAUCUUCUGUGGGCGUAGGAAAAUUGAUGGGUUCAGAUCCUAGUACGAGAGGACCGGAUCUGACGCACCUCUGGUGUUCCAGUUGUUCUGUCAAGGGCAUUGCUGGGUAGCUAAGUGCGGCACGGAUAAGCGCUGAAAGCAUCUAAGCGCCAAGCCAUUCCAGAGAUUAAUUUUCCCUGAAGGAUCGUGGAAGACCACCACGUUGAUAGGCUGAGGGUAUAAGUGCAGUAAUGUAUGUAGCUCAUCAGUACUAAUCAUCCGUUCGACUUAAUUCC